Molecule: ribosomal RNA, 253 nt
Filed under: uncultured bacterium
Lineage: Bacteria
Description: partial 16S ribosomal RNA
Rfam family: Bacterial small subunit ribosomal RNA
Source: RNAcentral
UACGGAGGAUCCGAGCGUUAUCCGGAUUCAUUGGGUUUAAAGGGUGCGUAGGCGGAAUGGUAAGUCAGUGGUGAAAGCCUGCAGCUUAACUGUAGAGUUGCCAUUGAUACUGCCAAUCUUGAGUAUAAUUGAAGUGGGCGGAAUGUGUCGUGUAGCGGUGAAAUGCUUAGAUAUGACACAGAACACCGAUUGCGAAGGCAGCUCACUAAACUAUAACUGACGCUGAGGCACGAAAGCGUGGGGAUCAAACAGG